RNAcentral lists this transfer RNA (74 nucleotides) under Ixodes scapularis (black-legged tick). It matches the Rfam family "tRNA". Rfam says of the family: Transfer RNA (tRNA) molecules are approximately 80 nucleotides in length. The record is from Rfam by way of RNAcentral. Lineage: Eukaryota; Metazoa; Arthropoda; Arachnida; Ixodida; Ixodidae.
GCCGGGAUGGUCUAAUCGGUUACGGCAUCACCCCGGAUAGGUGAAGGUUUCGGGUUCGAUCCCCGCUCUUGGCC